AGUGAACGCUGGCGGCAGGCCUAACACAUGCAAGUCGAGCGGCAGCGCGGGGGCAACCCUGGCGGCGAGCGGCGGACGGGUGAGGAAUUCGUCGGAAUCUGCCUUUUUGUGGGGGAUAACGUAGGGAAACUUACGCUAAUACCGCAUACGUCCUACGGGAGAAAGUGGGGGACCGCAAGGCCUCACGCAGAAAGAUGAGCCGACGACCGAUUAGCUAGGUGGUAGGGUAAAGGCCCACCAAGGCGACGAUCGGUAGCUGGUCUGGGAGGGUGAUCGGCAACACUGGGACGGAGACACGGAGCAGACUCCGACGGGAGGACGCAGGCGGGGUUAGUGCGCAAGGGGUGAGAGCUUGACGGAGCAACGCCGCGUGAGUGAUGAAGGUCUGCGGAUCGUAAAACUCUGUUAUUAGGGAAGAACAAAUGGGCCAGUAACUAUGCGCGGCAUGACGGUACCUAAUCAGAAAGACACGGCUAACUACGUG
This 484-nucleotide ribosomal RNA is filed under the name uncultured bacterium. Its description in RNAcentral is "partial 16S ribosomal RNA". It matches the Rfam family "Bacterial small subunit ribosomal RNA", at positions 30 to 507 of the family's 1533-position model. The record is from RNAcentral.